CAUACACUUACACACUUCUCUUAAGCAGCUUCCAGGCAGCUUCCAGGUGACGCUUGUCGCCUUCGCCACCGACCGCGCCGUUGCUUCUUCAACCCUUCGUUGUUCCUCUCCGACGACAAGGAGACGUUAGAAGCAGAUAUCUUCUCCGGGAGCAUCUCUUUGAGUCAAAGGCGGACGCUGGAGCAUCCAAGACCUACUCACAGAAGGUAGGAACCACCUGCAAGGAAACAACAAAGUAACUCUUGAGUUCAUGGGGGAGGAUAAUAUAAUCCACUUUGGUGGCUGCCACUGCAAGCGUGUUAGAUGGCAGGUUGAAGCACCAUCUAGUGUGGUAGCAUGGAGCUGCAAUUGCUCCAACUGUUCCAUGAGAGCAAACACCAACUUCGUAGUGCCAUCAUCCAAAUUCAAGCUCGCAGCCGAUUCCGAGCAAUUCCUGACAACUUAUUCCUUCGGCACUCAUACUGCCAAGCAUACCUUCUGCAAGCUAUGCGGCAUAACUUCCUUCUACUUCCCAAGAUCAAAUCCUGAUGGCGUUGCAGUAACCGUUAGCUGUGUCGAUCCUGGUACCAUCAAACAUAUCGAAACCAGGUACUAUGAUGGCAAAAACUGGGAGAGCUCCUACGAGCAAAGCUCCAUAUCAUCAUUUUCAAAAGCAGAUAACAGUUAGUUUAAGCUGUCUUUGCUUAAAUGGUAAUAAACAGAACAAUGUUCUUUGUGUGAUCCCAUUCCAGGCUAUGUGAUGAUGUUAAGCAGUAUCGUAUGUCAAUCAGCAGAGGUUUAAAGCAAUAAAGUAUUUUAAUCUUGGACAAAA
Zingiber officinale is the source of this 811-nucleotide long non-coding RNA. RefSeq lists it as uncharacterized. The transcript is spliced from 3 exons. Lineage: Eukaryota; Viridiplantae; Streptophyta; Magnoliopsida; Zingiberales; Zingiberaceae. The record is from RefSeq and is a predicted model, not a curated record.